ACAUGAGAAACGUGGAGGAUAACAGCGUUCUCGACGGCGUGAAAGUGAGGCGGUCUCUCAAGAGCGGUGACCGUGUGUUAGAAAGCCCUCAUCCAGUGGCUGAAGGAAGCAGAGACAGACAUCCACAGAUAUACACUGAGCUGAAAUCUGGAAUUUAGUUGAAGAGAGGAAGGAAUGAAGAUCGAAGGGGUCUGUACCAGGUUGGAGAAACCCACAGGAACAGUUGGCCUGAACAAGAAAGAGCACAUCGACCCCAGAUGCUGUCUGGGAGGCCAGUACAAGACUGAUCCAGACCCCUGAACAUGGAUGUCAAUAAGGAGGCCUCAGCCCUCCAAGGAGCCUCUGGUAGUGGAUUAGUAUUUUUCCCUGGUGCAAGAAGGGACUUUGAGAGCCCAUCCCACAUGAAGGGAUACACUCUGGCCCUGGACACAAGGGGAAGGGCCCAGGCCCAGCAAAGGAAGAUUUGAUGGACUUUGCAGAGCCCCAAUUGAGGGCCCUACCCUG
RNAcentral lists this long non-coding RNA (504 nucleotides) under Cricetulus griseus (Chinese hamster). Its description in RNAcentral is "lncRNA (ENSCGRG00015034406.1)". Lineage: Eukaryota; Metazoa; Chordata; Mammalia; Rodentia; Cricetidae. The record is from RNAcentral.